RNAcentral lists this ribosomal RNA (266 nucleotides) under uncultured prokaryote. RNAcentral describes it as "partial 16S ribosomal RNA". It matches the Rfam family "Bacterial small subunit ribosomal RNA", at positions 524 to 788 of the family's 1533-position model. The record is from RNAcentral.
UACGGAGGAUCCGAGCGUUAUCCGGAUUUAUUGGGUUUAAAGGGUGCGUAGGCGGCUUUUUAAGUCAGCGGUGAAAUUUUGCAGCUUAACUGUAACAGUGCCGUUGAUACUGGGGAGCUAGGAUUUGGUUGCUGUGGGUGGAAUGUGUAAUGUAGCGGUGAAAUGCUUAGAUAUUACACAGAACACCAAUUGCGUAGGCAGCUUACUGAGCCGACACUGACGCUGAGGCACGAAAGCGUGGGGAUCAAACAGGAUUAGAUACCCCU